Molecule: long non-coding RNA, 701 nt
Organism: Corythoichthys intestinalis (scribbled pipefish)
Lineage: Eukaryota; Metazoa; Chordata; Actinopteri; Syngnathiformes; Syngnathidae
Exons: 3
Source: RefSeq, a predicted model, not a curated record
CGUGAUCCUUUGCUAGGCAUCCAUUCUGUGUGGUAAUCGUUGAAAAUGGUACACUCGUGUUGUGUGAAAGACUGCCAUUCUAGGUCCCAUGAUAGAAACGAAUGCAAAAAGGAUGGGAUAUUUUUUUUUUAGCAUUCCCGCCUGGAAGAGAAGAUAUGGAACUCAGAUGAGUUGACCAAGAGGCUUCGAAUGGUUGCAGCGGUGAGAAGAAAGGCCAUCACUUUUUAUUCAUCAACUGAAAACAUGUCGGUCUGUUCCCUACAUUUCCAUAAAGGAAAACCAGCAUAUGAAAUAAAUGAGGCAGACCCUGACUGGGCACCAUCCUUACGCCUGGGACACACAUGUGUUCAGCCCACCAACGUGGACCGCUCUUCUAGGCGAAGUAGGCGUGAGAAAUUGAGGAUGGAGGAAGACGUUGGUGAGCUACAGGAGGAGCUGUCAGCGCCCUUUAGAUGCUCCUUCUGACCUUCAUGCGCCUGCGUUUGGACCUGCCUACACGACACAUUGCACACAUAUUCCAUGUUUCCCGUAAGACUGUGUAUUGAGUGUUCAGUGGCAUGGUGCCCUUUUUACAUGCUAACUUGAGACGAGCAAUUGUUUGGCCCAACAGAGAAACACUCUAUAAAACAAUGCCUCACGAGUUUGUUGAGUCCUUCAGACGCAGAGUUGCAGUGAUUAUUGAGUUUUUUGAAAUUUUUACA